This 372-nucleotide ribosomal RNA is filed under the name uncultured organism. Its description in RNAcentral is "bacterial SSU rRNA". It matches the Rfam family "Bacterial small subunit ribosomal RNA", at positions 526 to 896 of the family's 1533-position model. The record is from RNAcentral.
CAGAGGGGGCAAGCGUUGUUCGGAAUUACUGGGCGUAAAGGGCGCGUAGGCGGCCUCCUAAGUCGAACGUGAAAUCCCUGGGCUCAACCCAGGAACUGCGUCCGAUACUGGGAGGCUUGAAUCCGGGAGAGGGAUGCGGAAUUCCAGGUGUAGCGGUGAAAUGCGUAGAUAUCUGGAGGAACACCGGUGGCGAAGGCGGCAUCCUGGACCGGCAUUGACGCUGAGGCGCGAAAGCCAGGGGAGCAAACGGGAUUAGAUACCCCGGUAGUCCUGGCCCUAAACGAUGAAUGCUUGGUGUGGCGGGUAUCGAUCCCUGCCGUGCCGAAGCUAACGCAUUAAGCAUUCCGCCUGGGGAGUACGGUCGCAAGGCUG